CAGUCGCCACGGGAAUACAGAGGGUGCAAGCGUUAAUCGGAAUUACUGGGCGUAAAGCGCGCGUAGGUGGUUCGCCAAGUUGGAUGUGAAAUCCCCGGGCUCAACCUGGGAACUGCACCCAAAACUGGCGAGCUAGAGUAUGGUAGAGGGUGGUGGAAUUUCCUGUGUAGCGGUGAAAUGCGUAGAUAUAGGAAGGAACAUCAGUGGCGAAGGCGACCACCUGGACUGAUACUGACACUGAGGUGCGAAAGCGUGGGGAGCAAACAGGAUUAGAUACCCCGGUAGUCCCUGUCUCUUAUAC
Molecule: ribosomal RNA, 301 nt
Filed under: uncultured bacterium
Lineage: Bacteria
Description: partial 16S ribosomal RNA
Rfam family: Bacterial small subunit ribosomal RNA
Source: RNAcentral